This 4954-nucleotide long non-coding RNA is filed under the name Sus scrofa (pig). Its description in RNAcentral is "lncRNA (ENSSSCG00000056013.1)". Lineage: Eukaryota; Metazoa; Chordata; Mammalia; Artiodactyla; Suidae. The record is from RNAcentral.
AGUGACACUGCUGCCCUAGAACCUGGGUGCUCAGGGAGUGAGUGUGUGUGGGUAUGUGUGUUGUUCGGGUAGGGAGGAGGUCUCUCAGCUUGCCUCACAUCUGGAUUCUCAGCAUGCUGGGCCCAAGGUGGAGCCUGCGUUCCACACAUAGGGCCUGGGAGGAAGAAGGGAGUCCCCAUCUCUCAACCGCAUUCACUGGAGACUGGCUAGCAUCAGCAGGAAGUCACUUGGGGCAUGCUAUGCGAGACAUGCUGAAGCCUUGCUUCUCCCAGGAAAAAAGCCCUCUAAUUUGGAGCUGGUAGGAGAGAGAGGCCUGUGUUCUUGAGGGCAGCAGUCAGGAGUGGAUCUCUGCCUCACUGAGCUAGAAGUUGAGGAGGAAGGAAUGUUUUUGUUCAAAUACUGCAGACCAGUCUUUCUUACCAAAGUUUUCUAGGUUUUCCUGAACAUGUGCUUGUUUCUCCACUUGCCAGUUUAUACCUAGGACCAUUUCCAGAGGCUUUAAAUUAUUGUCUUCAGUCAUUUUCACCCAUUCACUGGGGAGCAGGUCAGUGGAGUGCCAGACGCUGUCAUGCUGGAGGUGGUCCUUGUCUAAGAUCAUAGACAGAGAGCGGUCAGCCUCAAUCCCGCAAACCCACACAGGCCCUGUGCCCUUCCUGUGGUUUUAAGUACCUAGCUGGUCAUUAAUGUUCAUUUACUGACUUGAUUUUCUCAGGGUAGUAAAGCUCUAUUUCAAACAGUGUUUAUUCAUUGUUUCUCCUACAUGUGAGUAGGUGGGCAAAAAUAAAAUCUCUUUUUUUCUACAAGCAUAAAAUAAAAGUUAGCAUUUUCUCCCUUGGAAGAACUCAAGGAAGAUUUUUCAGAGUUUAUGUUGUUCACUGUGACUUUUAAUAAAAAAAUAGUUUUCUGAAUUUUUCCUGCAGUAAUCAGUUACAUCAGUAGGGCAAGGUCAUAAAUCAACUGCUACCAAUUUAUAAUCUCCCUCUUCUCAGAAUGAAGGUAACAGAUUGGGAUUUGUUGGUGGUCGUGUUUGAGGCUGAAGAUAAUGAAUUCUGUUACUUUGAGCUAUUCAAGCUUAAUUCCACUCAAGUCCAGUCAGAAGGAGUCCAGCUUGAUGAAGGAUUACUGACAAAAGCAGGACAAGCCUCCAUGUAUACUUAAUUCACAUUUAGCUUAUGGCCCAUGUUCAGGAUGGGUUAUAUCCAUUGACGUUCUUUCCAGGAGAGAGCGUCUCCUGUCAGGCUUUCUGCCACGGCCACUGUGAUUACAAUUGUGGGGAUUCUCAAGCUGCAGUAAAAUGUGUUAAAAAUACAGAUUCCUGGACCCCAUGUCGAAGAUUCAUGUUUAGUAGAUAGUAGAUGUGGCACAGGAAUCUGCCUUGUUAAGAGGCUCCUGGGCUUGUUUCACCAACACUCACACUGAGCAACUCUGAGUCCAGUGCCACUGAGUGGGCACAUCGUCAUCCACUUCUUCUUGCUCUAAUCUUCUCGUGGGCAACCAAACGGGUGAGAGCUUGGUUUCCCAGUUGUGCAUUUACUAGGAGGCAGUGUUGUGGUCAUGUUGACAUUCUGCUUAAUUGCUUUUUUCUCAUUAAAAUUAAUAAGUUGAUAUUUGUAUUUAUUAAAUAUGUGUUUACAGACCACGUUUGAAAUUAGCAAAUCACUAAGACCAUUAAUUUGAAGAGGUAGGUAUUUUUGUACUACAGAUUUCAGAUCAUCUGACCACACCCGGAAGAAUGCAGUCACCUUUCUGUGAGUGAGCCAGCCUUAAAGGCAACAGUAUCUGAUAUCUUGGCUGUCUCAGUGAUCUGUAGAGAACUGCAAGUCCUUUUUCUCUUUACAAAAGGAGAUAGAAUGGUAAAAAGAUUAAGAGUAUAGACUUUAGAUUUGGGCAGUCCUGUGUCUGAAUUCUUUCUGUGCAGCUUCUGAGCAGUGUGGACUGAUUCCGUUGGUUAUUCUCUUUGAGCCUUCUGUUUCUUCAUGUGCACACUGAAGGUAAUGAAUUCAGUAGGUGAAAAUCUCUGGUUGUAGCAGAAAACCCACCUUAAUCUGGCAAGAUACAUACAUACAUGCAUACAAACAGACAUGUAAUAUACGUAGGAAUAUCUUGACUCCAAAAGCUCUGAAGUAGGGCUGGACUCAGACAAAAGUGAGUCUAGGAAUUCAGAUGAGUGCAUCUGAACCAAUUUGUGACUCCCUGUAGACUCCAUUCUCCAGCUCCCUGUGGCUGUGGCUCACAGUUCCAUUUACAACUCUAUCCUUGAAGGUUAAUAAUGUGCACUGGGAGAGAACAAAUGCCUGUGCCUCUCUGAGCGCUCUUAGCAAGCAUCUCACUGUAAAUCACUCUCUUUGGGUCAAAUGCCCACCCCUCAGUUAGUCACCAUGAUGAGGGAGACAUGAUGUUCUGAUUGGCAAAGCCUGGGUUCCGUGACCCUUUGGCGCUAAGGACACAUCAGCACCACAUGCAUCACAUGGCUGGAAAUAGCAAAGAGAGUGGUCUCCAGAGGAAAAUGGGAAUGCUGCUACCAAAAAGAAGGGCAGGAGAGAACACAGGACCAACAGUCUGCAGCUGACUAAUACAGGAAGCCCCACUUCACAGAUCUCAGAGGAGAGAGUCCUGGGACCUCGCCGAGCAUAUGACUUGGCACACAGUCAGCAUUCAGUGCAUGAUAAUGGUUCAGAAGGGAAAUCAUUUUUGCAGUGAACUGCAUCCUCUCUUUAUCAGAAGCUAUUUCUUGUUAGGAGCACUAUCUCCUAAAGAAGCAAAAGAUGAUCUGAAAUCAGUCUUUUUCCCUAAAAGCAGCAUGUAGCCUCACUGCUGGCACACAGUGAGAGAUAGGUGUGAAUCCUUAUUCCAAAGGCAAGUCCUUUCACCUCCCUGAGCCUCAGUUUUUUCAUCCGUAGGCUAGAAAUGAUAACUAGUGCCCACUUGCCUUUAUAGUGAUAGCCAACAGUAUAAUGACUAUGAAAAAAUAUAAAUAAUCAAAUUACUAUGAAGAGAAUAAUAGCUAUGUUGAGAUACUAGGCUCAGUCAAAUAUGGAAUAUCUGGGUGCCAGGGGCUGUGUUGAGUUCUUUUCCAAAUGUUAUCACAUUUAAUCCUUGUAGUCAUCCUAGGAGGUAGGUAAUGUUAUUGCAUCUUCACUUUACAAAUGAAGCUCAGAGAGACUGCAUAGCAAGCUCAAAAUCACCCAAGUUACUGUGUCCCAUAGGUUUUGGAUUGUCAUAUCUUCACUGUCAUUUGUCUCUAAGUUUCAUCUUAUUUCUUCUUUGAUUUCUUCGGUGAUACACUGGUUGUUUAGUAGCAUAUAUUUUUAGCUUCCAGGAGUUCAUGUUUUUUGCUGGUUUUUCUCUUCUUGCAGUUGAUUUCUAGUCUCAUAGCAUUGUGGUCAGAGAAAAUACCUGAAAUAAUUUCAACUUUGAGAAAUUUACCAAAGUUUUAUCUGUGGCCCAAGGUGUGAUCUAUCCUGAAGAAUGUUCCAUGUGCACUUGAGAAGAAUGUAUAUUCUGCUGUUUGGGGGUGGGAUGUUCUAUAAAUAUUGGUUAAGUCUAUCUGGUCUAGGGUGCCACUUAAAGCCUAUGUUUCCUUGUUGAUUUUCUGUCUGGAAGAUCUGCCCAUUGGUGUAAGUGGGGUGUUAAAGUCCCCCACAUAUUAUAGUGCUGUUGUUGAUUUCUCCUUUUAUGAGUGUUAACAGUUGCUUUAUAUAUUGUGGUGCUCCCAUGUUGGGUGUGUUUAUAUAUAUAUAAAUAGUUGGUAUAUCUUCUGAGAGGGAAGUUUAUAGCAAUGCAGUCUUACCUCAGGAAACAAGAAAAAGCUCAAAUAAGCAACCUAAAACAUCUAGAGGAGGAAGAACAAGCAAAGCCCAAAAUUAGUAUAAGGAAAGAAAUCAUAAAGAUUAGAGUAGAAAUUAAUGAUGUAGAAACAAAGAAAACAAUGGAGAUCAGUGAAACCAAAAGUUGGUUCGUUGUAAAGAUCAACAUAUUUGUAAACCUUUAGCCAGACUCAUCAAGGAAAAAAGGGGAGAGGACUUAAAUCAAUAGAAUUAUGAUUUAUUUUUAUACUUCAAAAUGACUAUACUACCCAAGGCAAUCUACAGAUUCAGUGCAGUCCCUAUCAAAUUGCCAAAGACAUUCUUCAUAGAACUAGAAUAAAUAUUUUAAAAUUUAUGUGGAAACACAAAAGACCCUGAAUAGCCAAAGCAAUAUUGAAAAAGAAAAGCAGAACAGGAGGAAACAAGCUCCCUAUCUUUAGACUGUAUUUUGAAGCUACAGUUAUCAAAACAGCAUGGUACUGUGUGGUACUGGCACAAAACCAGGAAUACAGAUCAAUGAAACAGUAUAGAAAGCCUGGAAAUAAACCCAAGCACCUAUGUUCAACUAAUAUGUGACAAAGGAGGCAAGACAUACAGUGGAAGAAAGUCUCUUCAUCAAGUGGUGCUGAGAAAACUAGACAGUUACAUGUAAAAGAAUGAAAUUAGAAUAGUCUCUGAUGCCAUACACAAACACACACUCAAAAUGGAUUAAAGACCUAAAUGUAAAGCCAGAUACCAUGAAACUCCUAGAGAAAAAUAUAGGCAGAACAUUCUUUGACAUAAAUCUCAGCAACAUCUUGUUUAAUCCACCUCCUAGAAUAAUGACAAGAAAAACGAAAGUAAACCAAUGGGACCUAAUUAAAUUCAAAUCUUUUGCACAGCAAAGAAAACCAUUAAAAAAUAGAAAAGAGGAGUUCUUGUUGUUGCACAGCAGAAACAAGUCUAACUAGGAACCAUGUGGUUACAGGUUCGACUCCUGGCCUCGCUCAGUAGGUUAAGGAUCCGGCAUUGCCGUGAGCUAUGGUGGAGGUUACACAUGCGGCUCAGAUCUGGAGUUGCUGUGGCUGUGUCAUGGGCCAGCAGCUGCAGCUCUGAUUAGACCCCUAGCCUGGGAACUUCCAUAUGCCAUGGGUGUGGCCCUAAAAAGA